Molecule: ribosomal RNA, 334 nt
Filed under: uncultured bacterium
Lineage: Bacteria
Description: bacterial SSU rRNA
Rfam family: Bacterial small subunit ribosomal RNA
Source: RNAcentral
GAUGAACGCUGGCGGCGUGCUUAACACAUGCAAGUCGAACGGAGAUAUCAUUUUCGAAGCGAUUAGUUUACUAAGAGUGGAGAUGUUGGUAUCUUAGUGGCGGACGGGUGAGUAACGCGUGGGUAACCUGCCUUGCACUGGGGGAUAACACUUAGAAAUAGGUGCUAAUACCGCAUAACAGGAGAAGAUGCAUGUCUUUUCCUUGAAAACUCCGGUGGUGUAAGAUGGACCCGCGUCUGAUUAGCUUGUUGGCGGGGUAACGGCCCACCAAGGCAACGAUCAGUAGCCGGCCUGAGAGGGUGAACGGCCACAUUGGGACUGAGACACGGCCCAA